AGGUGAACCUGCGGAAGGAUCAUUAACGAGUUAGGGUCCCUCGCGGCCCGACCUCCCAACCCUUUGUCUACCUGACCACUGUUGCUUCGGCGAGCCCGUCUGUAAUGGACCGCCGGGGGGUACCUUGAUCGGCCCUCUGGUCCGCGCUCGUCGAUAGCCAAACUUUUAAAAUCUUAACCAAACGUGUCUCAAUCUAAGUAUUAUUUGUUAAAUAAAAGCAAAACUUUCAACAACGGAUCUCUUGGUUCUGG
RNAcentral lists this unclassified non-coding RNA (251 nucleotides) under uncultured fungus. RNAcentral's name for it is "partial contains 18S rRNA, ITS1 and 5.8S rRNA". The record is from RNAcentral. Lineage: Eukaryota; Fungi.